GGGCAGUAUGGGCGAUGGAAGCCGCUCGGCCUAGCAAGACGAGAGAUGCGGUUCGACUCCGCUACUGCCCU
RNAcentral lists this transfer RNA (71 nucleotides) under Dehalococcoidia bacterium. RNAcentral describes it as "tRNA-Ala". Lineage: Bacteria; Bacillati; Chloroflexota; Dehalococcoidia. The record is from RNAcentral. RNAcentral also lists the same sequence under 1 other name.